This 1656-nucleotide ribosomal RNA is filed under the name Salmonella enterica subsp. enterica serovar Orion. RNAcentral's name for it is "partial 23S ribosomal RNA". It matches the Rfam family "Bacterial large subunit ribosomal RNA", at positions 1294 to 2925 of the family's 2925-position model. Lineage: Bacteria; Pseudomonadati; Pseudomonadota; Gammaproteobacteria; Enterobacterales; Enterobacteriaceae. The record is from RNAcentral.
AUGCUGACAUAAGUAACGAUAAAGCGGGUGAAAAGCCCGCUCGCCGGAAGACCAAGGGUUCCUGUCCAACGUUAAUCGGGGCAGGGUGAGUCGACCCCUAAGGCGAGGCCGAAAGGCGUAGUCGAUGGGAAACGGGUUAAUAUUCCCGUACUUGGUGUUACUGCGAAGGGGGGACGGAGAAGGCUAUGUUGGCCGGGCGACGGUUGUCCCGGUUUAAGCGUGUAGGCUGGUUUUCCAGGCAAAUCCGGAAAAUCAAGGCUGAGGCGUGACGACGAGGCACUACGGUGCUGAAGCAACAAAUGCCCUGCUUCCAGGAAAAGCCUCUAAGCAUCAGGUAACAUCAAAUCGUACCCCAAACCGACACAGGUGGUCAGGUAGAGAAUACCAAGGCGCUUGAGAGAACUCGGGUGAAGGAACUAGGCAAAAUGGUGCCGUAACUUCGGGAGAAGGCACGCUGACACGUAGGUGAAGUGAUUUACUCAUGGAGCUGAAGUCAGUCGAAGAUACCAGCUGGCUGCAACUGUUUAUUAAAAACACAGCACUGUGCAAACACGAAAGUGGACGUAUACGGUGUGACGCCUGCCCGGUGCCGGAAGGUUAAUUGAUGGGGUCAGCGCAAGCGAAGCUCCUGAUCGAAGCCCCGGUAAACGGCGGCCGUAACUAUAACGGUCCUAAGGUAGCGAAAUUCCUUGUCGGGUAAGUUCCGACCUGCACGAAUGGCGUAAUGAUGGCCAGGCUGUCUCCACCCGAGACUCAGUGAAAUUGAACUCGCUGUGAAGAUGCAGUGUACCCGCGGCAAGACGGAAAGACCCCGUGAACCUUUACUAUAGCUUGACACUGAACAUUGAGCCUUGAUGUGUAGGAUAGGUGGGAGGCUUUGAAGCGUGGACGCCAGUCUGCGUGGAGCCGACCUUGAAAUACCACCCUUUAAUGUUUGAUGUUCUAACGUGGACCCGUUACCCGGGUUGCGGACAGUGUCUGGUGGGUAGUUUGACUGGGGCGGUCUCCUCCUAAAGAGUAACGGAGGAGCACGAAGGUUGGCUAAUCCUGGUCGGACAUCAGGAGGUUAGUGCAAUGGCAUAAGCCAGCUUGACUGCGAGCGUGACGGCGCGAGCAGGUGCGAAAGCAGGUCAUAGUGAUCCGGUGGUUCUGAAUGGAAGGGCCAUCGCUCAACGGAUAAAAGGUACUCCGGGGAUAACAGGCUGAUACCGCCCAAGAGUUCAUAUCGACGGCGGUGUUUGGCACCUCGAUGUCGGCUCAUCACAUCCUGGGGCUGAAGUAGGUCCCAAGGGUAUGGCUGUUCGCCAUUUAAAGUGGUACGCGAGCUGGGUUUAGAACGUCGUGAGACAGUUCGGUCCCUAUCUGCCGUGGGCGCUGGAGAACUGAGGGGGGCUGCUCCUAGUACGAGAGGACCGGAGUGGACGCAUCACUGGUGUUCGGGUUGUCAUGCCAAUGGCACUGCCCGGUAGCUAAAUGCGGAAGAGAUAAGUGCUGAAAGCAUCUAAGCACGAAACUUGCCCCGAGAUGAGUUCUCCCUGAGACUUAGAGUCUCCUGAAGGAACGUUGAAGACGACGACGUUGAUAGGCCGGGUGUGUAAGCGCAGCGAUGCGUUGAGCUAACCGGUACUAAUGAACCGUGAGGCUUAACCUUACAAC